Molecule: long non-coding RNA, 1377 nt
Organism: Passer montanus (Eurasian tree sparrow)
Lineage: Eukaryota; Metazoa; Chordata; Aves; Passeriformes; Passeridae
Exons: 3
Source: RefSeq, a predicted model, not a curated record
GGCAAAAGCAGGAGGAAAUAAGGGUGGAGGUGGGGGGACAGGGACAGAAAGACGUAUCGGCCCUGGGAGAGAAGAAAACAACGCGUGAUCACCUCUAAUCCUUUGAAAAAAUGCCCCGGUGUCGGGAGGGCAAUUUACUAACAAGUAAUUAAAGGUCGCACCGGUUUGCAGGCGAGCCGGGCCAGAGGCUGCUGCAGGAGAAGAGCGGUGCAUGUGGAGAGAGGGAACAGCAAGUGGAUGGGAAAGGAGCCUCUACAACAUAAACCUCAUUGACUUAAUGGGUCGGUUUUGGAUUUCGCCUUCGAAAUGUUCGGCGAGUGGCAGCGUUGUGUUUCUGCCCCGCCGGUUCCCAGCCUCCAGCCCCGCUUCUCAUCCCGACGAGAAGCGGCUCCCAAAAACCCGCUGCUGGUUUUAUUUUGUUGCGUUAUUUGUUUCCUCUAGACCCUCUCACUUCUAGAAAAAAAAUAUUAAAUUUUACUUUUGAUUGGGGAAGAGCUUUAUUUCUAAUCUCGGAAGGAAAUGGGGGAUAUAUUUUGUUUACUUUUUUUUCCUGCUUUCUUUUGAUUUUCUGGCGAAAUCGAGGAAAAACCCGCAGCGCGUUGCGUGGGCUCCAUCUUCAUCCCCGCCCUGCGCUGUACAAAUACAUCGAAUAAAUAAGGGAAUAACUGAAUUUCCCGCACAAACAGAGCCGAUGGGUGCCCGGGCAAUGGGGGCGAGCAGCGGAGGCCCCCUCGCUCGGCCGCCUCCUCUCCGCGGGCGCGGAGGAGCCAGGCCCCGGCGGCGGGGGCAGCCCGGGAGCUCCGGGAGAUGCUCCGGGAGGUGCUGCCAGGAGAUGCUCCGGGUGAUGCUGCCCGGCUGCUCCUGCUCCGCCGGCAAAGAAAGCCCCGAGAGGGGCCGGCGGCAGCUCUGCGCCGUUGUCUUCUUCCGUGGCUUUUUGUUUAUUUGCAUCAUCCUUGUUUAUGGUUUGGUUUUAUUUUUUGAGCGGCUAGAAACUCUCUUUUUUUUUGUUGUUGCUUUUGUGAUUCUUUUCAAGGGUUAAAUGGGAUUGGGGUGUUCUGGAAAUACAUUUGCCUCUUGGUUCGAAAUGAAAGGUUCCUAAUUUUUAGGAAAACCAACCCCGGAGCCUUUAGGAACAUUGAUGCUCAGCGGUCCUUGCCUGCAGAGCUCCCAGGUAGACCCGGGCGGGUCUGUCCCCUCCUUUUGUGAAUUUUGGUGAGAGGGGAGAAUAAAGUCCCGCUCAAGAAUCGCGAGGAAGCCUCCGCUCAGCCCUCGCCCGUGUCUGUCAGCUCUUCCGCCGGCCGCAUCGGGAUAAUUUGCUUAUUCCCAGCAAGAGCGGUGUUUGUUUUGGUCGGCCCUUUAAAGGAGGAAAAAAAAAAA